CUACGUGCCAGCAGCCGCGGUAAUACGGAGGGUGCGAGCGUUAAUCGGAAUAACUGGGCGUAAAGGGCACGCAGGCGGACUUUUAAGUGAGGUGUGAAAUCCCCGGGCUUAACCUGGGAAUUGCAUUUCAGACUGGGAGUCUAGAGUACUUUAGGGAGGGGUAGAAUUCCACGUGUAGCGGUGAAAUGCGUAGAGAUGUGGAGGAAUACCGAAGGCGAAGGCAGCCCCUUGGGAAUGUACCGACGCUCAUGUGCGAAAGCGUGGGGAGCAAACAGGAUUAGAUACCCUGGUAGUCCACGCUGUAAACGCUGUCGAUUUGGGGAUUGGGCCUUGAGCUUGGUGCCCGAAGCUAACGUGAUAAAUCGACCGCCUGGGGAGUACGGCCGCAAGGUUAAAACUCAAAUGAAUUGACGGGGGCCCGCACAAGCGGUGGAGCAUGUGGUUUAAUUCGAUGCAACGCGAAGAACCUUACCUACUCUUGACAUCCA
This 488-nucleotide ribosomal RNA is filed under the name uncultured bacterium. Its description in RNAcentral is "bacterial SSU rRNA". It matches the Rfam family "Bacterial small subunit ribosomal RNA", at positions 501 to 990 of the family's 1533-position model. The record is from RNAcentral.